UCGCGCAUAUUGAAGUUGUUGUUGCUGACUGGUUACCCGCAUGCCAGAACCGAGUGGCGCAUCGGAAUCACACAUGCUGUGUGCAUUUUUCUCCGCUUGCCUUUGAAGGAAAAAAGGGGAAGGGCGUGCUUGGACGAGCCACCAAGAUUAGCGAAUAAAGAAAAAAGGGGCAAAGUUAUCAAGAUCUUAUGUCGGGCAGCGCGUACCGCGACUCCGCGGGUGACGGGUUACAGGAAGAAGAGGAGGAAGAGCUAGGACUUCCAUCAUCUCGAACAUCCGCCGCGGAGGAGUGCAGCCGCAGCGGGAGUGCCGUCGACGGCGGCAAGAACGUACUCUCUAGAACUCCGGAUGACAGUGCAAUGCGAAGUUUUCGCGCGGCAGACGCCGACGAUGAGUUUGCACUAGACAUUCCGUUCGUGACGUCAAAAGGCAGCGCAUCAGCCACUGGGCUUGGAGCAUUCGCACAUACAAGCUUCACCAUCUCAUCAAAUGUCGACAUCGGACGGCAUCAGCGAAGGACGGCUGCGUCAACUGCCGCAGCCCAAUCUUCAGUGUCUGGCAAGGAGCAGGGGGAAAGACAGUUGUCGAUUGCUGGCAACUGGGAGAAAGCAGAAAAUGUGUCACUGAACAAGUACCAGGGGUCCGACAUACUGGAUGAUUCUGACUCCCCACAGGAUGAGGUAGAGUUCCAAGCUUGGAAAGCGCGAGACGCGUUUCGGCGGCAACAGCUGCUACUAUGAAACUCAUGUGCCUGCAAGUACACUGUUUCGUUGUACAGGUCGUCGGUGGCUAACAGUGAGCCUGCUGGGAUGUAAGGGUGUGGAUGUGGAAAGGUAGAUGACGCGUACGAUGGAUAUGACCCUAGGCUUUCGAUUUGUGGUGUGCGACACUCCGCGAGCGGCGACCUGAUGCAGCGCACUGGUGGCUCUCUGGAAUGGCCCUCGUUGCCCUGAACUCGACAUAGUGGCCGAUGCCGAUGAGCUCUGUUUGCUGUUCCACACAAGGGGGAAGAGGAAAGCCGCAACUUUUCUUUUUCGUCCAUGCCUGCGGCUUGAUUGCUACUCUCGUCUUGGCUUACAAAGCAGAGAACACAGGCGCGCGUGGCAACCUCUGAUGUCAACGCUGCCGAUGAGGCAGCUGUGAUGGGCUCCCCGAUCCCUCUUAUUCUUCCCCUAGCUGUUCUUUUGUUUCGCCCUUGGGGCGGUUGCCGCCCCACAAAUU
This 1221-nucleotide unclassified non-coding RNA is filed under the name Leishmania donovani. RNAcentral's name for it is "gene:LdHU3.35.1650(CDS-product:hypothetical_prote in)". Lineage: Eukaryota; Euglenozoa; Kinetoplastea; Trypanosomatida; Trypanosomatidae. The record is from RNAcentral.